GUCUGCGCUUCCAUUAGCUACUUGGUGGGGUAACGGCCUACCAAGGCAACGAUGGGUAGCCGAUCUGAGAGGAUGAUCGGCCACACUGGAACUGAAACACGGUCCAGACUCCUACGGGAGGCAGCAGUGGGGAAUAUUGCGCAAUGGGCGAAAGCCUGACGCAGCGACGCCGCGUGAGGGAUGAAGGUCUUCGGAUCGUAAACCUCUGUCAGAAGGGAAGAAACUAGGGUGCUCUAAUCAUCAUCCUACUGACGGUACCUUCAAAGGAAGCACCGGCUAACUCCGUGCCAGCAGCCGCGGUAAUACGGAGGGUGCAAGCGUUAAUCGGAAUCACUGGGCGUAAAGCGCACGUAGGCUGUUAUGUAAGUCAGGGGUGAAAUCCCACGGCUCAACCGUGGAACUGCCCUUGAUACUGCACGACUUGAAUCCGGGAGAGGGUAGCGGAAUUCCAGGUGUAGGAGUGAAAUCCGUAGAUAUCUGGAGGAACAUCAGUGGCGAAGGCGGCCACCUGGACCGGUAUUGACGCUAAGGUGCGAAAGCGUAGGGAGCAAACAGGAUUAGAUACCAUGGUAGUCCACGCCGUAAACGAUG
This 591-nucleotide ribosomal RNA is filed under the name uncultured Desulfovibrio sp. RNAcentral describes it as "bacterial SSU rRNA". It matches the Rfam family "Bacterial small subunit ribosomal RNA", at positions 228 to 811 of the family's 1533-position model. Lineage: Bacteria; Pseudomonadati; Thermodesulfobacteriota; Desulfovibrionia; Desulfovibrionales; Desulfovibrionaceae. The record is from RNAcentral.